UACGGAGGAUCCAAGCGUUAUCCGGAAUCAUUGGGUUUAAAGGGUCCGUAGGUGGAUGAUUAAGUCAGAGGUGAAAUCCUGCAGCUCAGCUGUAGAAUUGCCUUUGAUACUGGUUGUCUUGAGUCAUUAUGAAGUGGUUAGAAUAUGUAGUGUAGCGGUGAAAUGCAUAGAUAUCACAUAGAAUACCAAUUGCGAAGGCAGAUCACUAAUAAUGUACUGACACUGAUGGACGAAAGCGUAGGUAGCGAACAGG
Molecule: unclassified non-coding RNA, 253 nt
Filed under: uncultured Flavobacteriaceae bacterium
Lineage: Bacteria; Pseudomonadati; Bacteroidota; Flavobacteriia; Flavobacteriales; Flavobacteriaceae
Description: contains 16S-23S intergenic spacer region
Rfam family: Bacterial small subunit ribosomal RNA
Source: RNAcentral